Lactuca sativa (garden lettuce) is the source of this 2285-nucleotide non-coding RNA. The record is from RefSeq and is a predicted model, not a curated record. Lineage: Eukaryota; Viridiplantae; Streptophyta; Magnoliopsida; Asterales; Asteraceae.
GCAUAUACAUGGUAUUACCGUAUCUGUUCGAUGUCACCUAAUCUUCUCUACACACAACACAACAGCCGCCAUGAGUAGGCAAAUCGAACCCCUCUUCUUUGCGUUUAGCGAACACCGAGUUCCAUCUAAAAAUGAUGACCCCUCAAACCCUUGAAUCGUCGUUGCUGCUUUAUAGCACCCAUUCCUUAUUCAAUGUUGCUGCUUCAAUAAAACCCUAGAUAUAUCACCACUAAUCGCAUCUUGAAGUGAACAAAGGUCUUCAACAAGCAGUCGGUUCAUCUAGGUGAUGAAGAACACAAAAAACUGGAUCUGUAUGGGGCAUCUUAACUCUAUUGUCCUUUCUAUUGUCUGCUAUGAUAAAAUCUAGGUAAACUCUCUCUCUCUCUCUCUCUCUCUCUCUCUCUCUCAUAAAUCUUCUCUUUUAUUGCUCAAGGAAUUCCAAGGUAUACGUUUUUCUUACUUUAAACCCGACAAAUUCCUCUGCGAAGACCUAAUCACCAUAAACGAAAAUGGCUUCCUUUGAUUUCGCAGGUUUGAUAUUGUAUUUUUAUUCGAUGGAAUGAGUACUCAUAAUGGAUACCGAUUAUCCUAAUUUUGAUCUUAAAUAAAAAAAAUAGUUACCUAAUUCAUUCAUGUGCCGAUUUGGUUAAAGGAUAUGUUGGGUUUCAAUUAAUUUAUCCGAAAUUUAAAAUAUAUUAUGGUUUAGAUAUUUAAUUAAACAAUAAAAUAGAAUUUCAUUAGAUUAAAUGAUAUAUUAUUCAUUAAAUAGUUAGUGAUUAUGAGGUUGAUAGAUUAUAUUGAUGGUACUAAACAAGUGUUUGAUAAAAUGUCCGUGAACAGGGGAUGGUGAAAAGUUCACUCCUGCAAUGGGUUGGGAACUUAAUGUUGAUGAUGGUUUGAAGUUGCAGGGGCUCUUUUGGUGGAUAAAUAGCUCGAUUAAUUAGAAGUAGUUGGAAUUGCAUUCCUUUUUUGACAUCUUCUUUGAGAUCUAAAAUUGAUAUAUGUAAAACAUAUUGAAUUAUUAUAGUGAUUACUUUCUGUUAAUUUUUUUUACAGGAAAUGAUUGUGGUUCAUAGAAAAGGGACUUGCAGAUGUCUUUUGCGUUCUCUUUGUUGAGCGAAAUCCUUAAACUGAAAGUCCAAGUGAGGACGAAGGAAAAACAUCGGCAACUCACCAUCUCUCAAAAGUUGGUAUGUUUCACUUACCCUCUCCAUAAAAACAAAACUAACAUUACUUUCUUUCUUGGUAAUUACGAGUUCUUGAUUCUAAUUGCAUUUUAUUCUAUUUAUUGUUGUUAAUCCCCCAAAGCAACUUCAGAUUUUUGUUUCAAAAUCCUCCUUUCUUAGAAGGAUCAAAAAACGAAAUUGUUUCAGGAUCCUAAAGUUUCUUUGCAAUGUUAAAGUGGAUGAAUAAUGAUGUUUGAUUGGUUACUUCCUCUAUGCAGGUUUGUAUAUCUUGGAGGUAUUAUUUCGAUUUAAAGCCUUCAAUACAAGUUGUUAACAAAAGAAUUUGCACUCUCAUAUCAUAUAACUUAUCAACGACGACCAUCUAACGUGUCAGGCUAUUCACAUGUUUUUUCUUAUAUGUUCGUUCUUAGUUGGUACAUCAUGUUGAAAUAAAAGGAAAAAACAAUAAAUUAUUGAUUUUUAAUUUUUGUCAUAUGAUGUUUACCCAAUAGUCUUUCACAAGAAGAUGAAUUCAAUUUUAAUUCUCAAAGGAGCCUCAAUAAAAGUUAUUAAAAAUAAGUAUUUUAUAAUUGGAUCUCUAUUUAUCUCUCCAUAUUUGUAAAGAUUAAUGAAGUAUUGACAAGUUACUACAAUGGAGUAUGAAUCACUAAUUGCUAGGUCCAAUAAAAUAUUUGUUAAAUGAAAAUCCCUUUUGAUUGUUAUUGAGUAGUAAUUUGAUGUUAAUAAAUUAUCUUUUUUCUUUUGCUAAAUUUUUUCUUAUCAACAUAUUGUGCUCUUAAAAAUCAACUCAAUUGAGCAAUGGAGCAAGGUGGGACAGUGUAGAUGGAGUUUAAAACAAAGGCGGCACAUUCAUGUAUUGGAUUUCCAAAUUAUGUUAAUUUCUAAUUUGUAACAAUGUUCCUAUUUAGGUGUUUUGUAAUUAGGACCAAAUGUUAAUUGCGGUGCAUUUUUCUUUUGUUUAUUAUAGCCUCAAAUUUUUUGGAUUCAUUUAAAUUUUUUAACAUAAAUAUAUUAAUUCCUAUUUAGGUGUUCUGUAGAACCAAAUGGGAAUUGUAAUGUAUUUUUCUUUUGUUUAUUAUAGUCUCAAUUUUUUGGAUU